RNAcentral lists this ribosomal RNA (360 nucleotides) under Ampithoe longimana. RNAcentral describes it as "partial large subunit ribosomal RNA". The record is from RNAcentral. Lineage: Eukaryota; Metazoa; Arthropoda; Malacostraca; Amphipoda; Ampithoidae.
UUGGAUACUGGAAUAAAUGAUUUUACAAUUAAAUUUUUUCUUUUUUGAGUUUAAUAAUUUAGAGUUUAAGUUAAAAUUCUUAAAUUUAUAAAAAAGACGAUAAGACCCUAAAAGCUUUAUUUUAUUUUCUUUUUAAUARAGAMAAAAAUUUUUUACUGGGGUAGUAUUUAUUUAAGGGURAUAAAAUAAAAAACUUUUGGUUUUAUUUCUCUUUAUUAGAAAUUAAAUUAGUUACUUUAGGGAUAACAGCGUAAUAUUGUUGGAGAGAACRUAUCUAUAACAAUGUUUACGACCUCGAUGUUGAAUUAAUARACCUUUUUAAAGCAGAUUUUAAAUAAGGGGGUUUGUUCAACCUUUAAU